Molecule: long non-coding RNA, 407 nt
Filed under: Pan troglodytes (chimpanzee)
Lineage: Eukaryota; Metazoa; Chordata; Mammalia; Primates; Hominidae
Description: long non-coding RNA NONPTRT002352
Source: RNAcentral
CUUACCAAUUUCAGCAGGUAGUUGUUUAAUUUUGUUCUCUCGAAUGCUAAGCAUGCUGAGUUUUGACAAGUUUUUGAUGUCCUUUUCCACAGUAGUUAUACGAUUAAAGCGAAGGUAAAGAGUGGUGAGAGAAUCCAGCCUAUACACCACUGAAGGAAUUUCUCUCAGUUUAUUAUGCCGUAAAUCAAGCAUCCGCAGCUUCUUCAAGUUAUCAAGAGAGUCAGGCAAACUGUAAUUGAAUUCAAAGAUGAAGAGACAAAGAUCCUACACAAUCAAAAAAGUACUGGCUUGAAGAAGUAAUCAGCAUGGAGUAACAUCCAUCUGUUACAUGUUGGAUCUAAAAGCACUAUGCCCAUUUCUGAUCAUUCAUUCCAACUGGUAAAAUAGUGCUGGUCAAUCAAUGAUUC